AAGUAACGUCCUGCCAAACCCGU
This 23-nucleotide small RNA is filed under the name Arabidopsis thaliana (thale cress). RNAcentral describes it as "AGO4_01255". Lineage: Eukaryota; Viridiplantae; Streptophyta; Magnoliopsida; Brassicales; Brassicaceae. The record is from RNAcentral.